Molecule: transfer RNA, 73 nt
Filed under: Ailuropoda melanoleuca (giant panda)
Lineage: Eukaryota; Metazoa; Chordata; Mammalia; Carnivora; Ursidae
Rfam family: tRNA
About the family: Transfer RNA (tRNA) molecules are approximately 80 nucleotides in length. Their secondary structure includes four short double-helical elements and three loops (D, anti-codon, and T loops).
Source: Rfam by way of RNAcentral
ACCUGGCUGGCUCAGUCAGUGGAGCAUGUGACUCUUGAUCUCAGGGUUGUAGGUUCGAGCCCCAUGAUAGGUG